UCUGCUUGUUGUCUCGGCUCUCGAUCCAUCCCUCACGCUCUGGAGUUUGGGGAGUGAGCACUCACGUACUGCUUAAGUGACCGAUUUCCAGUGCUCGACGUGCGCCUCCAUGUGUGUUCUCGCGUCCUGGAUUAGCAGCGGAUGAAGCCAGCGAUGCAAAUGAGAGGAUGGAAAGUGCUAACUUCUUCUCCUCCGUGCAGUUCCAGACAUUUUUCAGGCAAUCUUGCAAUUACCCUGUCAUGGUAGUAUGGGUGGACACUUCUGCAGAUUAGAACAAGGAGGUGGG
Cololabis saira (Pacific saury) is the source of this 286-nucleotide long non-coding RNA. RefSeq lists it as uncharacterized. The transcript is spliced from 3 exons. Lineage: Eukaryota; Metazoa; Chordata; Actinopteri; Beloniformes; Belonidae. The record is from RefSeq and is a predicted model, not a curated record.